Molecule: long non-coding RNA, 285 nt
Filed under: Monodelphis domestica (gray short-tailed opossum)
Lineage: Eukaryota; Metazoa; Chordata; Mammalia; Didelphimorphia; Didelphidae
Description: lncRNA (ENSMODG00000044489.1)
Source: RNAcentral
CCGGAUCACUUGAUUCGUUGCAUUGUAAUGCCCUUUUUCAUACUGUAUUUUGACCUACAGCAAGACCUCACUGAAUGAAUAAGCAAGAAGGGGAUUGAAGGAUUCUCAAUCAAUUGACAGAAUGCCAUCAGCUUCAUGGUGGUUUGGAAUGAAGUAAUGGAGCAAUUUUCAGCAACACCCAAGCAAAAUUCCUUUACAAAAUUGAAUAGAUAACUUGCAAUUUUGAUUCUUUUGAAAUCAUGUGUUUCCAUCAUUCAUAAGAUUCUGGAAACUGAUGGACUAGAG